This is a long non-coding RNA of Pan troglodytes (chimpanzee), 8617 nucleotides long. RefSeq lists it as uncharacterized. Lineage: Eukaryota; Metazoa; Chordata; Mammalia; Primates; Hominidae. The record is from RefSeq and is a predicted model, not a curated record. The transcript is spliced from 3 exons.
CCUCAUUAGCCUCCGAGGCGUCGAGACGCGAGAGGUGUGAUUGGUACUACGUCAGGCGGUAUCCGGGGACGCCCAAUCAUCACUGAAACUUGCGGCAGCGCAAUCGAAGCUCGAGGCGAUGAGGAAAUGAAGACCGAGGGAAGCUAUCUCUUGAGUGCGCCAUGCAGCUGGCGAAGGGUGGAGCAGGGCUUCAAAUGCAGACCUUUCCAACUCCACUGUCCCUGCUCUCCUGCGUGCCCUUUCCUGCCUUUUCUCAAUGGAGACCAUCAGAUCAAGAAAAAAGAUUUUCUUCUCCACGGCAACUGAAGUGUUGACUUUGACAGUGAAAGCUACAGAGUGUAUGAUGUUUCCCUUUUUGCCUUGCUUGCCGGGAAGCUUGUGCUUUUUGUCAAACUGCUUACUUCUCCUUUCCAUGGUUUUGGUCUUCUACCUUUGACAGCCUUUUAUUCAUGAGUCUUACUGUAAGCUGUUCUACUCAUAGAAUAAGCUGAAUAAAUAGAAAUUGAAUUGAAUGGAAAAGGAUGGGUUACAAAUUACAAGUAAAUAAUUCAUUUUAUAUUUAAUUUAAUUUAUUUAUUUACUUUUGAGAUGGAAUAUUGCUGUCACCCAGGCUGGAGUGCAAUGUCGUGAUCUCACUGCAACCUCCGCCUCCUGAGUUUAAGUGAUUCUCCCGCCUCAGCCUCCCAAGUAGCUGGGAUUACAGGUGCCCACGCCUGGCUAAUUUUUGUAUUUUUAGUAGAGAUGGGGUUUCACCAUGUUGGCCAGGCUGGUCUCGAACUCCUGACCUCAGGUGAUCCAUCCGCUUUGGCCUCCCAAGUGCUGGGAUUACAGAUGUGAGCCACUGUGCCCAGCCUGCAAGUAAAUAAUUCAAAUAAAAUCAUGAGCUUCAGGAAAGAAAAAUGCCUUUCUUAUAUCGGGCCAUUGCCACAGUGUUUAGCCCUGAGCCCUGGUUCUGGCUGGGUGAAGUUUGCAUGGAAAGCCCAGUGGUGAUUUUCCCUGUUGUGUCUGGAUCAGUGGCUCUCCUUGCACCUAGAAUAUAACCCAAAGGUCUUCCCUUUGGAUUAGAGCAACAGUCCCCAACCUUUUUGGCGCCAGGGAUCAGUUUCAUGGAAGACAAUUUUUCCACAUACUGGGUGGGAAACUGUUUCUCCUCACAUCAUCAGGCAUUAGUUAGAGUCUCAUAAGGAACCGGCAACCUAGAUCUCUCUCAUGCACAGUUCACAGUAGGACUCAUCCUCCUGUGAGUAUCUAAUGCUGCCGCUGAUGUGACAGGAGGUGGAGCUCAGGUGGUAAUGCUCCAUCACCCGCUGCUCACCUCCUGCUGUGCGGCCCUGGUCCAAGGCCCAGGGAUUGGGGACCCCGGGAUUAGAGGACUGACCCCUGCUCACCUCUUCCACCUUAUCUUGUGUCACUUGUCCCCUUGCUCACCCAGGAUAACUACUGGAGUCAUCUUUGAGAUGUUCUCACAAGCCAGGUUCUUUCCCUGCUUCAGAAAAGAGGCUUUGUGGCUGGGCGUGGUGGCUCACACCUGUAAUCCCAGCACUUUGGGAGGCCGAGGCAGGCGAACCACCUGAGGUCAGGAGUUCGAGACCAGCCUGACCAACAUAGAGAAACCCGGUCUUUACUAAAAAUACAAAAUUAGCUGGGAGUAGUGGCACAAGCCUGUAAUACCAGCUACUCGGGGAGGCUGAGGCAGGAGAAUCACUUGAACCCGGGAGGCAGAGGUGGUGGUGAGCUGAGAUCAUGCCAUUGCACUCCAGCCUGGGCAACAAGAGCAAAAACUACGUCUCAAAAAAAAAAAAAAAAAAAAAAAAGAAAAAGAGGCUUUGCAUGUGCCGUUCCCUCUGCCUGGAGCCCUCUGCUCUCUCCCAUCCCCUGCUUCUGCCUGGCUCAUCCUUCCUACGCUUCAAAUUUCUGCUGAAAGUCAGCAUCUUAGGGAGGCCUCCCCUGACUGCUCUGUUUAAAGGGGUUGUAGUAGCCGGUCUGCAAAGACAACUCCCAGUGCUUCCUGGCCUCUCCUGUGUAUGCUGCUAUUCCCAUCAAGAAAUAGACUCUAUUUCUCCUCCUCCUGGAAGUGGGCUGGGCCUUGGGCCUGGCUUUGGCCAAUGGAAUGUGGCAGAGGUAAUUUACUGAGGCUUCCGAGGUGAGGCCUUCAGAUGACUGGCAGCUUCUCCUUCCUGCCACCUGGAACCCAGCUGGUAUGCUGUGGGAAGCCCAUAUCACAUAGAGAGACACAGCGGGAGAAAUGGGGUGUUCAGCUCAAUAGCCCAGUUGAACCCCCAGCCAACAGUCAGCAUGGACUCCAGCCAUGUGCAUGAGCCAGCCUGGCUGCUGCAGCCCAGGUGAGCCCCUGAAUGACUGCAGGCCCAGCUAACAUCAUACGGAACAGAAGAACCACCCAACGGAGCCCACAGAACUGUGGGAGACAAUAAAAUGGUAUUGCUGUUUUAAGCCACUAAAUUUCCAGUCAUCUAAAGAGAGGUUAAUCCCUGAUAAAUUUCUCUCUUUCUCUCUCUCUCUCUUUUUUUUUUUUAGAGAGACAGAUUCUCACUACGUUGCCCAGGCUGGAGUGCAGUGACUAUUCACAAGUGCAAUCGUAGUGCACUGCAGCCUCGAACUCCUAGUCUCAAGCAUCCCUCCUGCCUCAGCCUCCUGGGUAGCUGAUAUUCUAAAAAUCAUUGCCCCAAUGCACUUACUUCAUAGCAUUCACAAUAAUCUAUAAUUAUAUAAUUAUUUGAUUCUUAACUUGCUAGUUUUCCCUUUUUUCUUUUUCUUUUCUUUUUUUUUUGAGACAGUCUCGCUCUGUUGCCCAGGCUGGAGUGCAGUGGCAUGGUCUUGGCUCACUGCAAUCUCCACCUCUUGCAUUCAAGCAAUUUUCCUGCCUCAGCCUCCCGAGUAGCUGGGAUUACAGGCAUGUGCCAUCAUGCCCGGCUAAUUUUUUAGUAGAGAUGGGGUUUCACCACAUUGGCCAGGCUGGUUUCGAACUCCUGACUUCAUGAUCCAUCUGCCUCAGCCUCCCAAAGUACUGGAAUUACAGGCGUGAGCCACCGCACCUGGCCAAUUUUCCCUUUCUUCCUGUAGCACAUGAGUUACAGAAGGCUGGGACCAUGUUUGUCUUGAUUGCAGCUAUCCCCAGCAUUAAGCACAGUGAAUGGCAUGUGGUGGGAGCUGAAUGAAUGAAUGAAUGAAUGAAUGAAUGCAAGGCAUCGGAGUGGUCUUGAAGUGUUCCUAAGAGCCAGUGUAAGUCUCUGUGGCUGCAGCCCAGGCUGAUAUAGCACCAGAAAGGAGAUGGGUAUGGCCUAAGUCUCAGUUCUCUGGGGCUUUCAGGACUCAGAACUGUACAACAUUCCCUGACACCACCUCUAUAACCCACACCUCCACACCCCUGCCAGGAAGAAUCACCCUUUUCCUUCUCCUUGCCCUUCUGUGUCCUGUACAGCUCUCCAUUAGGGGACCCGAGAGGUCUCCGUGCAUGCUCGUGUGUAUAGAUGAUGGAAGCAGGACAGAAUAAUGGGUAUGAAUGAGGGCUCUGGAUCCAGAGACCCCCACCUUUGAACCCCAGUCCACCACAUUCUAAGGAUAUCUUGGUGCCAUGGCUACAGAUAUUGAGUGUUCACUCACAUAGGAAGUGCUGUGUAAGUGUGAGCUUACAUUACAAUUUCCAUGUGCCAGGCACUACUCUAACGUCUUGAAUUCAUUUACUUCAUACAAUCUUAUAAGGUGGUUGCUAUUAUCAUUCCCCUCUUACAGAUGAGGCAACUGAUGUGUGGAUAAUUUGCCCAAAGUUGCGUAUCUGAACCCCGCCAAUGUGGCUACAGAGCCCACCUUCUUCUUUUUUUUUGAGACAGGGUCUCUCUCUGUUGCCCAGGUUGGAGCGCAGUGAUGCAAUCAUGGCUCACUGCAGCCUUGAACUCCUGGGCUCAAGUGACUCUUCCAUCUCAUCCUCCCAAGUAGCUAGGACUGAAGGCGUGCACCACCAUGCCCAGCUAAUUUUUGUAUUUUUUGUAGAGACAGGGUUUCACCAUGUUGCCCAGCCUGGUCUCAAACUCCUGAGCUGGCGCGAUCCACCCAGCUUGGCCUCCUAAAGUUCUGGGACUACAGCCGUGAGCCACUGUGCCUGGUCCAGAGCCCACCUUCUUAACCCUCAUACUGCCUCUCUCGUUCUCAAGGUAGAACCCUUGUUCUGCCUCUCUGAGCCUCAGUUUUCAUACCUAUAAAUGGGGUAAUAAUGCCUGUUUAAUAGGGCUAUGAUACCAUGAUCUGGCAGUGCCUGACACAUUGUAGAAUCUCAAUAAAUCCCAGUUUGCUGUGGCAAGAUAGGUGAACAGACUUCCAACCAAGGAGGGCUUUGAAGCUUUACUGUGAGGGUGCUAGAGAACCACUGAAAGUUUUCAAGUAAGACAAUGACAUAAUGAAGCUGUGGCUUAGCUCCAGUCCUACCUUUUCCCGCCUCUGUCCCCGCUCCAAUUAGCUCUAUGCUGCCUGAGGUUGGUAUCUGAGUUUCACAUCCCUGUCUUACCUCCCCGUGAGGUGCUGAGAUUUGAACUGUUUCAGGAUCGUGACAGUUCAUCCCGGGCCUGGAAUGAAUGGGGUGGGAGGGAUGUUCUUGGUCUUGUGGGACUCAUCUCAAAGGGCUGCCUCAGAGAUCCCAUCUAGGGCCCCAUUUCUGUCUCCACCUCCAGCCCUACUGACUGAGAGAGGUGCCUGGGUUUCGUAUGACUGACUUCGUAUUCCCCUUGGAAUCCCUUCUGCAGCCUAGUGGAUGAGGUGAGACAGAGGCUGGUAACUCGGUGGAAGAGAGAGGAGGGAGAAAAAACAAGGGAGCCAGAACAGGAGAGAGUGGGAGACAGGGGGACAGAGAGAGAGAGUGGUGGAGAGAGGGUGAGCCAGAGUGAGGGAAAGAUGGGCUCACUGCUUCAGGGCGGGGCGCACCUGGUGACAAAAAUGGGCCACCUGACCUUGUGCUGUGUUCCCUUGUUCUGACAGAUAUGGUGAGGCCAUCUGACCUUGUGCUGUGUUCCCUUGUUCUGAUGGAUGUUGUGAGUCUGUGUGGGAGCACACGCAUGCACAUGUGGUUUGUGUGUCCACAUAGAUGCGAGCGUCUGUGACACAGCAUGCACCCCGUCUGCUGGCCUGUGCAUGGAAGUGCACAGAUGGGUCUCCAGGGACCUAGGGACUAAGCAUGUGGAGAACCACGUGCAGUGGCCUGUGUACGUCCUCAGCCCCAGCAUCACCUCCUCCAUGUGCCUCGCCCCCUAUUCGUUCACCCUCCUCCCCCUGUGAUGGCAUUAUCACCUUUCUUGGUCAGUCUCUGCUUACCUGUCCCUGUCUCUGCCUCUAUUGAGAGCUUCCUGCAGGAAAGUCCACUUCCUUGUCAUCCCUGUACUCUUGGCAGCAAGAUCAAGGCUUGCUGGGGCAGGUGAUCAAUAAAUGCUGAUGACUGAUUGAGUAUAUUUGUGUGAAUGGAUCUGCUUCCAGAAGCGUGUGUGGGUGUGUAUGUGUGUGUGUGCAUGCACAUGUGCACACAUGGAAACAUGUAUGUGACCAUACACACAUGCACAUGCACUGUGGGGUGUGGAUGUGUCUCUGAGAUGUCCAUGAAUGAGCCUCUGGGCACACACCAUGCCCACAGAUUGAUGCAGUGAUAUGCUGGCAAAUGUUUAACAACCAGCUCUUCAUUGAAAAAAAAAAUGCUGUGGGGCCGGGCGAAGCAGCUCACCCUGUAAUCCCAGCACUUUGGGAGUCUAAGGCGGGCGGAUCAUGAGGUCAAGAGAUUGAGACCAUCCUGGCCAACAUGGUGAAACCCCAUCUCUACUAAAAAUACAAAAAUCAGCUGGGUGUGGUGGCGCACACCUGUGGUCCCAGCUACUUGGGAGGCUGAGGCGGGAGAAUCACUUGAACCUGGGAGGCGGAGGUAGCAGUGAGCCAAGAUCGCAUCACUGCACUCCAGCUUGGUGACAGAGUGAGACUCUGUCUCAAAAAAAAAAAAAAAAGAAAAGAAAAGUAAAAAUAAGCCCUGAUUAGCAGCAUUUGCCCAUUGCUGUAGUGUAAAUGUUCCCACCAUGGCCGACUUCAAGUUGCUGCUGUGGCGUCAUGGAAUAUGGAGUUAGCUGGGAAGAGAUGCACAUAACUGGCUCACAUGAACCCACAGGAGUGGGCUUCAGUACAUGGAAGUAUUCAUGUCUGUGACUGCCCAGCCCAUGAUGGGCAGGGGAGGCAGUGCAAAGUUCCCCUGGUGAUGGUAAUGCUUCUUUCCAGAGCUGUGCCCUGGGGGAGCAGGCAGUUGGUGGCUGCCAGCCAGCUUUCACCAAGCGGCUUUAGAAGUCAGUCUAAACCAAUACUCCUUGUUAGGCAGGUCUAGACGCUCACCAACACAGCAGCACCUUCCCUCACUCCCUACAGAGGCUUUGAAGUUUUUGGAUUUGGUGAAGUCAGCAUGACCGCAAGGAGGAAUUGCUAAGCCUGAAGCAUGAAUGGAAGAGGGGGAAGGAGGAACGCUUCAAACCUCCAUCCGAGGCAGGUGGCCAGGGAUGCUGGAAGGUCUGGAGGCCCUGGGCCUUGUGCCUGCUUGAAGCCGCUUCACUGUGUAAGCCUGGACACAUCGCUUGCCCUUGCUGGCCUCCACCUGUGACUUUCUUCCAUGAAGGGAGAGGUCUUCUGAGCUCCGUGGCCUCUAUCUGACCCUCUGGGAGUUGGUCCUUAAACUGCACUCUGAGUGUUAAAAUCUACAUUCAAAAGGCAGAGGGAGGCUGUGUUGGCCUUAAACAAGAGCAAGAGGGGACCCUGCCCUGGCCCUCCUCAGACCAGGCCCUUUCCCACGUGGUGAGGAAUUCACAGGCCAAGGCGAUGUGCUCACCCCAAGCCCUACCCUUUUCUAGACACUCGUCUGAUGCCUGCUACUGUAGAAUUUCUGCUCCAAGAGUCCUGCCGUGCUGGCUUCCAGGGCUGGCUGCCAUCUGUCCUCCUGAGGACCCGUGUCCUCCUGCCUUAAGCAGUGGUUUUGGGAAAGCUGGGUGUGCAGGCUGGGAUGUGUGCCCACUUUGUGGGAGAUGCCCUGAACGUGCUGAGUGGAGCUGGAAGUGGGAAAGGAGGAGGGGUGGGUCAUGGGCAGGGAGCUGUGGUCUUGGGUUCCAGGGUGGGCUUGCCCCAUGCUGCUACUUUGAGGAGCAGAAUGCAGAGGAGGUUGAGAAUUCUAAAUUCAAACCUAACAUUUUAGUUUGUCACAAGGACAUAUUUGCCAGGACAGAGGAUAGACCAUAUUUUUAAAUUUUAUUUUAUUUUAUUUUAAUUUUUUUUGAGAUAGAGUCUUGCUCUGUCACCCAGGCUGGAGUGCAGUGGCGCGAUCUCGGCUCACUGUAACCUCUGCCUCCCGGGUUCAAGCAAUUCUCUGCCUCAGUCUACCGAGUAACUGGGAUUGCAGGCGCCCACCACCACGCUCGGCUAAUUUUUGUGUUUUUAGUAGAGAUGGGAUUUCAUCAUCUCGGCCAGGCCGGUCUUGAACUCCUGACCUCGUGAUCCACCUUCCUCGGCCUCCCAAAGUGCUGGGAUUACAGGCGUGAGCCACCGCGCCUGGCUGAUAGACCAUUUUUUAAGGUCGUUAGUUCGAUGUGCAGCUGUUAAAUCUUCAGACUUAAGUUAUGGAGAGUGAGCCUCCCUUUCUACUCUUGCCCUGGACCCCACAAGUGUUAGGGGUGAGCCUGGAGAGAGAGAUAAUUGAGAUUGGUGGGGGCUUGGUGGUGUGGCCCCAGCAGACUGAGGCUGAGUUGAACAGGGAGUUUUGAACAUUGGACCCUUCUAGAGUAGACUUUUCCGGGCCACGUCGUCCAGGGCUUACCUUCUCUUAGGUCUGUGCGGCGUGUAGGUGUCAUCUGCUUGCCAUCUCCUUUCUCUGGAGCCCCAGGAGAGCUGUACAAUGAGUAUGCUUCCCCCCACAUCUUAGAUAGCACUGUUAUCUUAGACAGCUGUUUUGGGGCAUGACAGGUCAUCCUUCCAAUGGGGCCUUUCUCUGAUGUCAAAGGUCAAAUCCUCCUGUUAGCAUUCCAUCUUGUCUUUCUCAUCUCUUCAAGUUAAGAGAGUCCCAGGGACCCUCCCCAUUCUUGUGCCACUCCAUGGCUUUUCUCUUCCUGAGGAGCACCCCUCUGCAGGGACCCCCCUGAGUAAACUGGUAGGGUCAUGUCCAUUCCAAACUGCACAAUUUCACGGGGGAAAAUGGAAACCCUGGAGUGUAAUUGGGAUGUUGAGUGGGGCUGCUUUAUUCUAAAAGAGAAAACUCAAGGACGUCAUGCUCUCUGUCUUCAAAUAUCUGAGGGGCUGUCAUGCUGAAAAGGGAAGGGAUUUAUUCAGUGUUGUUGGAGUGUGAAGGAAGAGGUGGAUUAAAAUUCAGUGUGCAGAGAAGACUUUUGCCAAAGAGUGCUGCUUAGCACUGGCUGGUGCUAUCUUUGGAGGGGGUGAGCCCGCUGUCACUGGAGGCGUGCAAGUAUCCCUAAAGGAUAUUUAACAGGGAACUCAUGAUCUAGAGAGUGGGGGGACACCCUACUGUACAGCAUCUAAACCUCUCAUCCCCAAUAAUCUGUAGCUUUAGGAUUGUUUUAAAUAGGAUGCCAGGAGUUGGGAAAGG